RNAcentral lists this transfer RNA (72 nucleotides) under Aedes aegypti (yellow fever mosquito). It matches the Rfam family "tRNA". Rfam says of the family: Transfer RNA (tRNA) molecules are approximately 80 nucleotides in length. Their secondary structure includes four short double-helical elements and three loops (D, anti-codon, and T loops). The record is from Rfam by way of RNAcentral. Lineage: Eukaryota; Metazoa; Arthropoda; Insecta; Diptera; Culicidae.
GGCUCGGUAGUUUAGUUGGUAAAGCGCUCGUCUAGCAUACAAGUGUCCUGGAUUCAAAUCUCAGCCGAGCAC